RNAcentral lists this ribosomal RNA (451 nucleotides) under uncultured bacterium. RNAcentral describes it as "partial 16S ribosomal RNA". It matches the Rfam family "Bacterial small subunit ribosomal RNA", at positions 329 to 795 of the family's 1533-position model. The record is from RNAcentral.
GCCCAGACUCCUACGGGAGGCAGCAGUGGGGAAUAUUGGACAAUGGGGGGAACCCUGAUCCAGCGACGCCGCGUGAGUGAAGAAGUAUUUCGGUAUGUAAAGCUCUAUCAGCAGGGAAGAAAGAAAUGACGGUACCUGAGUAAGAAGCACCGGCUAAAUACGUGCCAGCAGCCGCGGUAAUACGGAGGAUGCGAGCGUUAUCCGGAUUUAUUGGGUUUAAAGGGUGCGUGGGCGGGCUUUUAAGUCAGCGGUAAAAAUUCGGGGCUCAACCCCGUCCGGCCGUUGAAACUGGGGGCCUUGAGUGGGCGAGAAGAAGGCGGAAUGCGUGGUGUAGCGGUGAAAUGCUUAGAUAUUGCGCAGAACUCCGAUUGCGAAGGCAGCAUACCGGCGGCGAUCUGACGCUGAGGCACGAAAGCGUGGGGAUCGAACAGGAUUAGAUACCCCUGUAGAA